This 931-nucleotide ribosomal RNA is filed under the name Mendoza elongata. RNAcentral's name for it is "SSU rRNA". It matches the Rfam family "Eukaryotic small subunit ribosomal RNA", at positions 42 to 967 of the family's 1831-position model. The record is from RNAcentral. Lineage: Eukaryota; Metazoa; Arthropoda; Arachnida; Araneae; Salticidae.
GUNCANGANCCAUGCAUGUCUAAGUACAUGCCGUAUUAAGGCGAAACCGCGAAUGGCUCAUUAAAUCAGCUUAUGGUUCCUUGGAUCGUACCUUACUACUUGGAUAACUGUGGUAAUUCUAGAGCUAAUACAUGCAGCAGAGCUCCGACCUUCGGGGACGAGCGCUUUUAUUAGACCAAAACCAAUCGGACUCUGUCCGUCUCUUGUGGUGACUCUGAAUAACUUUGGGCUGAUCGCACGGGCCCGUCCCGGCGACGUAUCUUUCAAGUGUCUGCCUUAUCAACUUUCGAUGGUAGGUUACGCGCCUACCAUGGUCGUAACGGGUAACGGGGAAUCAGGGUUCGAUUCCGGAGAGGGAGCCUGAGAAACGGCUACCACAUCCAAGGAAGGCAGCAGGCGCGCAAAUUACCCACUCCCAGAACGGGGAGGUAGUGACGAAAAAUAACAAUACGGGACUCUUUUGAGACCCCGUAAUUGGAAUGAGUACACUCUAAAUCCUUUAACGAGGAUCCAUUGGAGGGCAAGUCUGGUGCCAGCCGCCGCGGUAACUCCAGCUCCAAUAGCGUAUAUUAAAGUUGUUGCGGUUAAAAAGCUCGUAGUUGGAUCUCAGUUCCAGACGGGUGGUCCGCCUACCGGUGGUUACUGCCUGUUCUGAACAGCCAGCCGGUUUCUCUUGAUGAUCUUCACCGGUUGUCUUGGGUGACCGGCAAGUUUACUUUGAAAAAAUUAGAGUGCUCAAAGCAGGCGCGACGCCUGAAUAAUGGUGCAUGGAAAUAAUGGAAUAGGACCUCGGUUCUAUUUUGUUGGUUUUCGGAACACGAGGUAAUGAUUAAGAGGGGACAGACGGGGGCAUUCGUAUUGCGACGCUAGAGGUGAAAUUCUUGGACCGUCGCAGGACGAACUACUGCGAGNNUUUUUUUUUGAAAAANAA